RNAcentral lists this ribosomal RNA (489 nucleotides) under Bacillus sp. EF3C-B1047. RNAcentral's name for it is "bacterial SSU rRNA". It matches the Rfam family "Bacterial small subunit ribosomal RNA", at positions 1 to 484 of the family's 1533-position model. Lineage: Bacteria; Bacillati; Bacillota; Bacilli; Caryophanales; Bacillaceae. The record is from RNAcentral.
UAGAGUUUGGAUCCUGGCUCAGGACGAACGCUGGCGGCGUGCCUAAUACAUGCAAGUCGAGCGGACGGAUGGGAGCUUGCUCCCAGACCGUCAGCGGCGGACGGGUGAGUAACACGUGGGCAACCUGCCUGUAAGACUGGGAUAACUCCGGGAAACCGGGGCUAAUACCGGAUAACUCUUUUCCUCACAUGAGGAAAAGCUGAAAGAUGGCAUCUCGCUAUCACUUACAGAUGGGCCCGCGGCGCAUUAGCUAGUUGGUGAGGUAACGGCUCACCAAGGCGACGAUGCGUAGCCGACCUGAGAGGGUGAUCGGCCACACUGGGACUGAGACACGGCCCAGACUCCUACGGGAGGCAGCAGUAGGGAAUCUUCCGCAAUGGACGAAAGUCUGACGGAGCAACGCCGCGUGAGUGAUGAAGGUUUUCGGAUCGUAAAACUCUGUUGUCAGGGAAGAACCAAGUACCCGGAGUAACUGCCGGUACCCUGACG